This 70-nucleotide transfer RNA is filed under the name Marmota monax (woodchuck). RNAcentral's name for it is "tRNA.Ala". It matches the Rfam family "tRNA". Rfam says of the family: Transfer RNA (tRNA) molecules are approximately 80 nucleotides in length. Their secondary structure includes four short double-helical elements and three loops (D, anti-codon, and T loops). The record is from RNAcentral. Lineage: Eukaryota; Metazoa; Chordata; Mammalia; Rodentia; Sciuridae.
GGGCUGGGGCUCAGGGGUAGAGCGCUCACCUAGCAAGUGUGAGGCCCUGGGUUCCAUCCUCAGCAGCACA